RNAcentral lists this unclassified non-coding RNA (355 nucleotides) under soil metagenome. RNAcentral's name for it is "partial contains 5.8S ribosomal RNA, internal transcribed spacer 2, and large subunit ribosomal RNA". The stretch from base 1 to 120 matches the Rfam family "5.8S ribosomal RNA", at positions 35 to 154 of the family's 154-position model. The record is from RNAcentral.
GAUGAAGAACGUAGCGAAAUGCGAUAAGUAAUGUGAAUUGCAGAAUUCAGUGAAUCAUCGAAUCUUUGAACGCACAUUGCGCCCGCUGGUAUUCCGGCGGGCAUGCCUGUUCGAGCGUCAUUUCAACCCUCAAGCUCUCCGGAGUUUGGUGUUGGGGCGCCUGGGGCUUUUCGACCUCAGGGCCCUCAAGUCCAUCGGCGGGACCGCCAGGACACUGAGCGCAGUAGUAUUAUUUCGCUCGGUAGGAUCUUCCACGGCGGGUCGAUCUGGCCGCUAAACCCCCCAAUUCUCACCAAAGGUUGACCUCGGAUCAGGUAGGAAUACCCGCUGAACUUAAGCAUAUCAAUAACGGAGA